This 1266-nucleotide ribosomal RNA is filed under the name Triticum aestivum (bread wheat). RNAcentral describes it as "partial small subunit ribosomal RNA". The record is from RNAcentral. Lineage: Eukaryota; Viridiplantae; Streptophyta; Magnoliopsida; Poales; Poaceae.
AUGGCAUCGGCGGUAGGGGAGGCGGUGGCCGCCGUUGACCACCACGGCCGGCCGGUCUCGCGGCGCUCCUCCGGGCGGUGGCCGGCCGCGCUCUUCGUCAUCGGGGUGGAGGUCGCGGAGCGGUUCGCGUUCGCCGGCAUCUCCGGGAACCUGAUAACCUACCUGACCGGCCCGCUCGGGCAGGCGACGGCGGCCGCCGCCGCGGCCGUCGACGCGUGGUCAGGCGUGGCCAUGCUGCUGCAGCUGCUCGGCGCCGCCCUGGCCGACUCCUGCAUCGGCCGGUACCGCACCAUCCUCUAUGCCUCCCUGCUCUACAUCCUGGGGCUAGCCAUGCUUACCAUCUCGUCGUCGGCGCACGCCUCCGAGGGCACGCCACACGCCGCAGCGGCGGCAUCCUCGGCGACGGCGAGCCCGUCCGCGGCCCAGGUGGCCUUCUUCUACGUUUCGCUCUACCUCGUCGCCUUCGCCUACGGCGGCCAGAAGCCGUGCGUGCAGGCGUUCAGCGCCGAGCAGUUCGACGAGAACGAUCCCGAGGAGCUCGCCUCCAGGGGCUCCUUCUUCAACUGGUUCUUCUUCGUCACGGACGGCAGCGUCACCGUCACCGUCCCGGCCCUGAACUACGUCCAGGACAGCGUGAGCUGGCAGCUCGGGUUCGGGAUCCCGGGCGCCGCCAUGGCGCUCGCCCUCGCCGUCUUCUUGCUCGGGACCAAGACCUACCGCUUCUAUCCUCCGGCAAGCAACGGCGGCUUGCUCGCGCAGCUCGGCCAUCCGCUCGUUGCGACGAUUCGAUCUUGGCGUUCAUCAUGGCGCUCCUCCAAAUUAUCUAGCGAUUCACGGCCAUUGCUAGAAAGCUCAUCAUUGUCGCCCAAGGGGAGCACCGGCAACGCAGAUGCAGAUUUCCCUCAUGAAGCAGCAUCGCUACUCAGAUUGUUCCCGAUAUGGUCGGCAUGCCUGAUCUACGCCGUCGUCUACGCACAGUGGCCUACUUUCUUCACCAAGCAGGCGAGCACGCUCGACAGGAGAGUAGGCAGCCUGGUGGUGCCAGCCGCUGCCCUGCAAAACCUGAGCCAUGUCGCGGUCAUGAUCUUCCUGCCGAUCUACGACCGGAUCCUCGUCCCGCUAGCUAGAAAGCGCACGAGGAACCCUCAUGGCAUCACAAUGCUGCAGAGGAUUGGCGCCGGGCUGGCCAUCUCGAUCGUCACGAUGAUCGUCGCCGCGCUGGUGGAGAUAAGAGGCUCGGGAUCGCGGCGGAUCAUGGCAUCCUAG